Molecule: long non-coding RNA, 1091 nt
Filed under: Salmo salar (Atlantic salmon)
Lineage: Eukaryota; Metazoa; Chordata; Actinopteri; Salmoniformes; Salmonidae
Description: lncRNA (ENSSSAG00000107813.1)
Source: RNAcentral
ACGGGGAGAGGGGCCCCUUUGGCAUCGACUCCACGUUCUAUGCAGUUGACUCUUCACUGAUGGCCUGUGCUCUGCUGGAGAGUGUCUGUGCUGUAAUCACGGUGAACCUGAAGACCAGGAGAAGAGACCAGGCUACCCUGAAGGCCCGAAGGACUGCAACCAAGAUGCAGGGGCAGCAGAACAGCAGAGGGGAAGAGGAGAGUGAAGAAGAGAGGGAAGAGACAGGACAGUGAAGCGUAAAAGGACGAUCGUUACAGAACUACCCACCACAACUGGAUCAAGCAGCGUGCUUGGGAGGAGAUGGACACCUGGUCUCAUGAGGAGUGGAUUGGGAGGAGAGACUGGACUUGGGGCCAGGUGAUCGACAGAUAUCGGAGCCUACCCGGGAAGAACGAGAGGCAGCCCCCCCCAAAAAAUUGGGGGGGCACACGGGUAGUUUAGCUGGACCAAGGGUGAGGCCUGAGUCAACUACCUGUGCUUUUUGUGGUAAGCAUGUGCCUGCCUCUCGCACUCUCUCUCCAGUGCGCCUGCCCAGCCCAGUACGUCCUGUUCCUGCUCCUCGCACUAGCCUUGUAGUGUGCACUCCCCGUCCUGAGCCUCCGGCGACAGUUCCCCGUCCAGGGCUUCCGGCGACAGUUCCCCGUCCAGAGCUUCCGGCGACAGUUCCCCGUCCAGAGCUUCUGGCGACAGUUCCCCGUCCAGAGCUUCCGGCGACGUUUUACAGUCCGGAGCCUGCAGAGACGGCCUACAGUCCGGAGCCUGCAGAGACGGCCUACAGUCCGGAGCCUGCAGAGACGGCCUACAGUCCGGAGCCUGCAGAGACGGCCUACAGUCCGGAGCCUGCAGAGACGGCCUACAGUCCGGAGCCUGCAGAGACGGCCUACAGAGACGGCCUGUCCGGCGCUGCCAGAGUCGCCCUCCAGUCUGGGGCCCGCGGCGAGGGACCCCGCUCUAGAGGCGCCACCAAAGUGGGGUGAGCCAGUGGUGGAGCGGGGUCUGCGUCCCGCUCCAGAGCCGCCACCGCGGAGAAAUGCCCACCCAGACCCUCCCCUAUAGAUUCAGGUUUUGCGGCCGGAGUCUGCACCUUUGGG